GGAAAAAGGAAAAUCUGCUGAUAGCUGAUAGUAUUUUGGAAAAAGUUUCUUCAUUCUGACUCUGUUAAAGUCUCCCAACACAAUAAAGUCUCACUCUGGGUUAAAAUCCCUGAUCUGCUAAUGACGCUGCACCUUCAUCCACAGCGGAUGUCAGCUUGUGAUGGGAUGUAAAGAUGGGAGAGGAGAGCUGAGCUGAGAUGGAUGAUAACACUGUCCAGUGUGAUGGCAGCUCCUGACGUGUCUGCUUCUGCCCGAUUCUUUCUGUGUUUGCUUUGAGUUUAGCUGAAGCUUGGACAUCGCCUGCCUUCUGGUCGAGGACCCUGAUACUCCUGAAGCUGCAGAGAAAGCGAAACAACAGUUUAAUUGGCAUUGAGGACGAGCACGAAGAUGUUUGCAGCUGAGGCCAAAAAACUGAUUGACAAGGUGGGAGAUAAAGAGCUCAUCUAUAAUGAGAGCCUAAUCAAGAAAGUAGAUCUGCUGACUCUGGUCAAAGUCAGCAAAGGAAAAUUCUGGCCAGUGCAAAAGUACAAGAUAAUGCAACUCAGUCUGCCCGAGCUCAUGGAGGUGGAAGACUUCAGCCCAGAGUGCACAGAUGAGCCCUUUGUGAGUAAUUUCAUGACUUCAACAAAGACGAGCGGGAGAGGAGGGUUAGGUGGAAAAGACAUUGGUGUGUAUGAAGCUGAAGUGAAUGCAGGCGCUGACAGUAUGGAUGGACUAGUUCAGCCCGUCAACAUGAUGUCGAAGAAAGUCGACCUUAAAGCCCUGAGGAGCGAGCUCAGUGACGGGACCAUAAAAACAGACAAAGUGAACCUGCUGGCACUGAAAACGAAGGAUAAACUGGCUUUUGUUCACCAGACAAUUUACAACUCUUCUCCUGUCACACUUAUUAGAAAGUGCACGAGGGAUGGGUCCUUGUUAGCCUCCUGCAUAAAGAUACUGAGUCUGUUUGCAAAGGGCCACAGAAAAGAGAAGACAAGCUUCACUGUUCCAGAAAAAUCCACCUUUGCUUACGGCCUGGUGGAGAUAAAGAUAGAGGAUGAGAAGCUAAAGAUCUCGUGUGAACCCUGGACUCGAGGUGCCCUCGAUGGACUCUUUGGCGAUGACAUAGAGAGUGCGAUGCUACAACAGAUUAAAGAAGAACUAAAGAUGAAGGAUGCUUUUCUGCAGCCGCUGGCAGAUCUUCCCGAGUCGACCCGUCAUGAUCUACUGAAGAAGCUCAGCGAGCUUGCUGAGGAUGGGGAUACUCUCUCUCUGCUGGAGCAAACAUUGGAUCACUGCAGUAAUGGAGCAUUUGAAGGCACUUUGUCUCAGGCUGCCUCCUCCUUCAUGGACCUUCUCGAUAUUUCAAACAUCUCCACUGCUGUGAAGGAUGCUGUUCACCUGUUGGUCAGCGCGUUGGACACUCUGCCAGAUGAAGUGCCGCCACUUCUGACCUGCUGCAGUCCAGACACUCUGAGAGUGCUCAACCAGUUGGUGGGUCCAUUCACUCAUUCAUCUGCAUUCAUCUACAUGCUCCUCUCAACAGCUGCCAGCCUCAUCACACCUUAUCCUACAGACUGAGCACACUAAACAUGUGUAAUCUGACAGCUUAAAGCAUCGUCUGUCAUGUUUUUGUAAUGAAGAAGAAUAAACUAAAACUAAACAGAAAAUCCCACAUGUGUAAAAGCACAUCAGCAGCAGCUCCGCCCACUAUCAGCAGCCUGUGGGCGGAGUCUUCCUCAUGUUUGAAUCUGAUCAGACAACAGCUCCCUCUCUGCUUCUCCAGGUGGAUGGUCUGAAGGACGGUCGGGCCACACUGCCAGAGUCCCUGCCCGUCCCCCUGCAGGAGGGAGGGGAGCUCCGCUGGGCGGCCGAGUUCAUCUGUUUGAACGAUCAGAAGCUGAAAGAGUUGAGUGACGGCUGGGACCGGCCCGAGCUGCCCCCAGAGGUUCUGCUGGAGGUUCUGUGCCUCGCUGUGCAGGGACUCAGCCUCCUGAUGCAGCCCACAACAAACCCUUAAUGUCAGCUGCUGUGAUCUUUGUUAACCUGUUUUCACAGCAGCGUUCUGCAUCUUUGAACGUUUCUGCCAUUGUUUCCUGAACUUUCAUCUGUCAAAGAUCAAAAACAAAAAGAAUAAUCUAAUAAAAUAUAUAUAUAUUUUUAAAUAAAUAAAACUUCAUACUUUUAUGUUCGGCUCAUGGUUUUAAUAUUUUAUUAGUUUUUGCUGCACUCCUUUAUGUUCUGUCCUGUUCCCUCCUCUGUGCCCCUGACCCUGUUUCCAUGCUUGUUUACUGUUAGUUAUUUUUACAAUAUUGAUAUAGAACUAAUCUCUUGAAAUAUCAUAUAUCAGAUUUGGUACUUGAGAGACAAGAAAAAGAAGUGACAGCAUGCAGAGAAGGAGGCUAAACAUUGUGCCCUCUGCUCCAGAGACAGUCCUCACAAACAGGCGAUAGAAACUGUAGGGUCAGAGUCUGGACUGAACCUGUCAAGAGUAUUUUUGUUUUUAAAGGUUUUAUUAUUCAUAUAAUAAUCAGCUAAGAGUGUUUAUAUUUCUGUCUUGUACUCAACCAGCUGCAUAUUUUAAUUGCUGGCUCUCUACUCUGUAACGGAAACUGUUUGCCUUCACAUUAAUUGUCAGCAGCAGGAAACCGCCACCCAAGAGCAAGAAACAACCUUGUAGAGAAUACAAAGUUCUUGAGAAAUCCCACCUGCUUGCUUGACAAGAUAAGCAUGAUAUUUCCUUUUUUGUAUGCUUCCUGUUGUGUAUAAAUAAAGGCAGCGAGCUGCUCCACGGUGUGUGAGUCUCCCCCUGAGUCUCUCACCCGUGCACGUUAAACUGC
Astatotilapia calliptera (eastern happy) is the source of this 2819-nucleotide long non-coding RNA. The record is from Ensembl. NCBI's taxonomy places the organism in Eukaryota, Metazoa, Chordata, Actinopteri, Cichliformes, Cichlidae.